GGCCUAACACAUGCAAGUCGAACGGCAGCACGGGGGCAACCCUGGUGGCGAGUGGCGAACGGGUGAGUAACAUAUCGGAACGUGCCCUGGAGUGGGGGAUAACUAGUCGAAAGAUUAGCUAAUACCGCAUACGAUCUACGGAUGAAAGUGGGGGAUCGCAAGACCUCAUGCUCGUGGAGCGGCCGAUAUCUGAUUAGCUAGUUGGUGGGGUAAAAGCCUACCAAGGCAUCGAUCAGUAGCUGGUCUGAGAGGACGACCAGCCACACUGGGACUGAGACACGGCCCAGACUCCUACGGGAGGCAGCAGUGGGGAAUUUUGGACAAUGGGCGCAAGCCUGAUCCAGCAAUGCCGCGUGAGUGAAGAAGGCCUUCGGGUUGUAAAGCUCUUUUGUCAGGGAAGAAACGGUGAGGGCUAAUAUCCCUUGCUAAUGACGGUACCUGAAGAAUAAGCACCGGCUAACUACGUGCCAGCAGCCGCGGUAAUACGUAGGGUGCAAGCGUUAAUCGGAAUUACUGGGCGUAAAGCGCGCGCAGGCGGUUGUGCAAGACCGAUGUGAAAUCCCCGGGCUUAACCUGGGAAUGGCAUUGGUGACUGCACGGCUAGAGUGUGUCAGAGGGGGGUAGAAUUCCACGUGUAGCAGUGAAAUGCGUAGAGAUGUGGAGGAAUACCGAUGGCGAAGGCAGCCCCCUGGGAUAACACUGACGCUCAUGCACGAAAGUGUGGGGAGCAAACAGGAUUAGAUACCCUGGUAGUCCACGCCCUAAACGAUGUCAACUAGUUGUCGGGUCUUAAUUGACUUGGUAACGCAGCUAACGCGUGAAGUUGACCGCCUGGGGAGUACGGUCGCAAGAUUAAAACU
Molecule: ribosomal RNA, 860 nt
Filed under: uncultured Oxalobacteraceae bacterium
Lineage: Bacteria; Pseudomonadati; Pseudomonadota; Betaproteobacteria; Burkholderiales; Oxalobacteraceae
Description: bacterial SSU rRNA
Rfam family: Bacterial small subunit ribosomal RNA
Source: RNAcentral